GGUGGACCAAAAAAUGCACUAAGACAACUAAAUGUGAUGUCAGCUGAAUGAGACCAAACUAUAUCUCAUCUAGAUGAAUUCUAAGCACUCUCAUCAAUAUUUAUACAACUUCGGUAUUUUAUAUAAAUGGAAGCUAAAGAUUUUGACAAAAUUGACAGAGAGAAAUAAUAAAGGAUACAUAGGGAAUUACUCUCCUACGAUUCUAUAAGUUAAGAAUAUAAUAAAACUGACAUGAUAUCUUGUACUCUGCUUGCUAAUAAAUACAUGACCAGGUGGCUCGAGAGGGGUGUGUCGAACCACCACGGAAAAUUAUCUGUGCUGAGGACUGGACGAUCUCUCUAAGUUGAUUGACUAUUGCUUCUUGUGUAUCCGUGUCCCUUGGAAAGAAGCCCCCUACAGGAGGAGGUAUAGGGAUCAUUGCGUCACAGCCCUUGCAUGGAUAUUGACCAUCUGUCAGAAGAACCGUCUUCAGGUCUGGAGCUCGACCCAUCAUGGUACUUGCAAAUAACAAGUGAUGGUCCAGUAGGGGCCUAAAACCACCAAACUGGAACUCUUUCAGUUGCCACUUCUAACAGCUCAUGAACCCAGGAAUCUUCCAUGAAGGUUCCACUCUUUGAGCACCAAAACAUCUUAUUCUUUCUUCAUCACCCUCCAGGCAUGGAUGUUCAAACAUCUGCAUUCAACCACCGAUACCAAAAUUAUAAGGGGUUAUGGUAGGAUGUUGAAACAUCUGCAUUCAACCACAGAUGUACAAUCAUAAAGAGACUACGAUGGUGUUUUGAGUCAGAUAGACUUGUAUACAUUCCAACUAGAAGUUUAAAAGAAGGGACAAUUCCAUUUAUCCCCCUAACUUGAGCCACCACCUGGCAUUUGCCCCUAAUUCUCAGGUAUGCUAAAAAAUACCCCUCUUCCGUCAAGUCACCUUACAGAAAUGCCCUUCUGUGCCGUUACCGUCCGGUCAAAGGGGUUUAACCGUCUGGUGAAUAGUAAAUGGUGAACAGUAAAUUCGCAAAAAAUAGCAAAAAAUCUGAAAUUUUGUGGGAUCGAAGAUACUCAAGGGGGCAAGGCGCGUGCAAAUUUUGGCACCAUUUGGACAUUCCAGCAGCUCGUGUCAAACGAAAAACUUUAAAAUGUACGUUGUGAGCAGUAAAUUCAAAAAACAAUAGCAAGAAAAUUCAAAAAAAUAUGAAAUUUUUUGGCAUCAAAGAGGCUGGGGUGCGCAAGGUGCAUGCAAUUUUUUUUGCGUUUCGACACUGUAGGAGCUCGAGGAGAAAAAACAAAAUUUGGCGCAGAAAAAAACUUUGAAAAAAUGCACUAUUUUGCUUUUUUUAGAGCACCUCGCAUGUCAUUUGAUCACAAAAAAUUGCAAGCGCCUUGCGCACACAAGCCUCUUUGAUGCCAAAAAAUUCAUAUUUUUUAAAAUUUUCUUGCUAUUUUUUUUUAAUUUACUGUUCACAGCGUAUAGAUUUAAAUUUUUUCCUUUCCCACGAGUUCCUAGAAUGUCCAAACAACGCGAAAAUUCGCACACACCUUGCGCCCUUAAGUAUCUUCGAUCCCAUAAAAUUUCAGAUUUUUUUGAUUUUUUUUGCUAUUUUUUCAAAUUUACUGUUCCCCAUGUUACUAUUCACCAGACGGUCAAACCCCUUUGACCGGACGGCAAGGGCAUUUCUGUAAGGUGACUUGACGGAAGAGGGGUAUUUUUGAGCAUACCUGAAAAUUAGGGGCAAAUGCCAGGUGGUGGCUCAAGUUAGGGGGAUAAAUGGAAUUGUCCCUUAAAAGAAUGAGUAGAAGUACCUCAACAUCAAAUGUCUCAACAGAUGGAGCAGCUUCGAUGAGAUUUAAAGUCCAUAACAGAUCAAAUUUUAUAAAGAUACCAUGAAUAAACAGCUUUCUUAGCUUGUUGAAUGCAGUGCAGAGUUGUUUUCUUUCUGGUUGCAUCCAGAUCUGAUGAACAAAACAAAUAAAGAAAAAGAUAAGUAUACAAUAAUUGUGCAUCUGUAUGUUAUAGAGGCAAGUUAUGCGUGCACCAGGUUAGUCAUUUGCCAAGUAAUGGUAUGCUUCCAGGCAAUUAUAAAUCUCUACUAUAUAUAUAUACUUAAAUAUGGAAGAAUAGUGUUCCUCUUUCGUACAACCAUGAGUUCCCCCUCUAUCUCUUCGCUUUGAUUUUUUCCUCGUAUACCUAGUUUUUUCUCCGGUUUUCCGUGAAAACCGUCUGAACGGUCCCACCUUUUAUUGACUUACCAAGUAGAAAUAUGUCUUCUUUUGUAAACCAAUGAGUUCUUAUCAAAUAAAAUCCUAAAAUUUAUCUAGGUAGGUAAAUCACGGGCAAGAUUUGAUAAAACAUUUACUUACACAAUCACAUUAAUAUGGGUUCACAGCAACAUACUAUACUAUUUAUAUCCCACUGCAACGCACCGGCAAUUAUCUACUUAUAAAUAAAAGCAAAUUACUUGGUCAAGGAAGGAAGCAGCAAAACUAAAACAAUCCUAGUGAUGGUCCAACAUGAAGUUCAUACUAAUGAAAUAGCAUAACCACAACAUAACAGAUAUCUGCUAAAAUUACCUUAUAUCCUCGAAAGUUUAAGGUUAGAGUAUGUAUGUUUGUGGCACCAUCUAGAACCUGGCUUAAACUAAAGUCUUGGUGACAGAGAGUUGCAUCACCAUGGAUAGAUCUUGCGUGUGCGUCGAUUUUUUUUGUUUUCCAUGCAAUGUUCCCCAACAAUUAUUUCACUUUAUGAUGUUAUUCUAAUGUCUUUUCUCUCUUAGUUUGCAAGAUUUACAUGAAAAGUAAACUUGCCGGCAGCUGGAAUUCUGGACCUGAAAAAGCUACAACAGAGAUAGAUAUUCACCAUAAAAAGUACUGGAAGAAGAAUCACGAGGAGGGGCCCCACCAUUGAGCCACAAGCUUAGGUGGCGGCCCCCUAGGGUGCGCCACCUAGGCUUGUGGGCCCAUCAGCGGGCCUUCGUGGCCCCUCUUCUCCUAUAUGAUGCCAUUUACCUUAGAAAAAAAUCAAGAGAAGACUUUUGGGACGAAGCAUUACCGUCUUGAGCCGGAAUCUGGGCAGGAGCACUUUUGCUCUCCGCCGGAGCGAUUCCGCUGGGGAUACUCUCCUCCGGGAGGGGAAAAUCGAAGCCACCGACAUCACCAACGAUCCUCUCAUCGUGGGAGGAUAAAUCUUCAUCAACAUCUUCACCAGCACCAUCUCAUCUCAAACCCUAGUUCAUCUCUUAUAUUCAAUCUUUGUCCCAAAAAUCUCAGAUUGGUACACGUGGGUUUCUAGUAGUGUUGAUUACAACAUGUAGUUGAUGCUAGUUGGUUUAUUUGGUGGAAUAUCAUAUGUUCAGAUCCUUAAACAUAUACAAUACACCUCUGAUCUUGAACAUGAAUAUGAUUUGUGAGUAAUUACUUUUGUUCUUGAGGACAUGAAUACGAUCAUGCUCCAUUAUAUUCCAUGAUAGGCAUUUCUGUCGGAAAACAUUUACAUCCGGUAGGCCGGCCGAAACUUCGGUUGGUCGCAUGGACACGGUCCGAUCCCAUGAUGCGCUGCCAUUAGAUCCCACACCAUCCCUUUGUUUUUUCUUUUGUUUUUUGUUUUGGAAUAAAGCAUCGCAUCCCCAUUCAUGGCGUCUGCGGCCUUCGACCACCAUCUGCCGGGCGCAUCCGGCUGGAUCGCACAGUUCCUCGAAGCUGGUGUGCCACCCCUGCCGGAUCUCAUCCACCGGACAUCAUGGAGUCACCGGCCUCUCCUUCCCAUCAGCACGGGGGAGAUCCCCUUCCCGCCCCUCGCCUGUUUUUUCCUCCGACGAGCUGGACGUCGUCUCCCACGCACCCCCUCCACACCCUCUCAACCAGUGGUGAUGCAGUAGUCACCAUGGAUGUGCCAACACCACCUUCAACCCCCCGGCAGCGAGAUGUUACAACCCUUUGCGAGAGAUGGUACAAUCAGCUUGCAUGGAUGCUACGAUUGACUUUUUUUUUUGCUUCAUCCGACAGCUGGAGUUUGGUUGCUGAUUUUUUUGCUGCAACCAUGCUGGCUUUUUGCUACUACGAUGAUGGAAAUUUGCUACAUCCUCCGCGGUGAGUCGACCAAUGUGGUGGCGGCUGGACGCCGGGCUGCCGUGAUAAUGCUACAACUGGCUUCGAGAUUUGCUACAACUAGCAUCUUGAUUUGCUGGAACCUGCCACCAUGUCUGCUGUAACCAUUGUCGUAGUGCAGCGUUUUUGCCUCAACCAGCCAAGACAUUUGCUGGAACCGGCACACAAAAUUGCUGGAACAGGCUUCUCUCUUCUUGUCAACGCAACCAUGGUGACCAUGGCGGGGGACGACGUUUGCUUUUUUUUUUGCUGCAACCACACAUCACAAACCUACGACCGGCGUUGCGCCGUGCUCAAAUGGUGGCUUGCACCUUGGUUCCGUGCUACAAGCUACCAUGGAGCGGGAGCAAGGGGUGAGGAGGAGUUGUGGCAAUGGGGCCGGGGGUGAGCAAGGCGGUGCGGUGGCUGGGAGUGCAGGGUGUCCUAGGGGACGAGGGCGGCGUCAUGCAUGGCUGACGCCCGCCGGCACAAGGGGAAGGAAGAAGACGAGGAGGCAGAAAGAAGACGUCGCGAGGGAUCCAAUGGUACGGUUGCGUACGGCUGAAUCAAGCGGCUAGGGGCCGACGGACCGAAAUUUCGCCCAGCGCACCCGCUCCUAACAUCGCCCAUUUCUGUUUGUGUGCACCAUCUAAUACAUCAGUAUGCAACAGAAAAAAUGAUACACCGUACAAGGUUCAGACCAACUAAAAGAAUUAUACCAGCGCAUCAACAGAUUACACACAAACAACCAAGUGUAUUUUGGCCUGCCAACAAAAAACGGAGUCUAAAGGAGAUGUCAACUGAAUGAGACCAAACUAUAUCUCAUCUAGAUGAGUUGUAAGCACUCUCAUCAACAUUUAUACACCUUCGGUAUUUUUUAUAUAAAUGGACGCUAAAGAUUUUGACAAAAUUGAUACAAAGGGAAUUACUCUCCUACGAUUCUGUAAGUUCAGAAUAUAAUAAAACUGAAGUGAUCUCUUGUACUCUGCUUGCUAAUAAAUACAUGACCAGGUGGCUCGAGAGGGGUGUGUCGAACCACCACGGAAAAUUAUCUGUGCUGAGGACUGGCCGAUCUCUCUAAGUUGCUUGACUAUUGCCU
Molecule: long non-coding RNA, 5173 nt
Filed under: Triticum aestivum (bread wheat)
Lineage: Eukaryota; Viridiplantae; Streptophyta; Magnoliopsida; Poales; Poaceae
Description: long non-coding RNA (TAES_LNC023670)
Source: RNAcentral